GUAGGGUGCGAGCGUUGUCCGGGAAUUACUGGGGCGUAAAGAGCUCGUAGGUGGUUUGUCGCGUCGGUUUGUGUAAGCCCGCAGCUUAACUGCGGGGACUGCAGGCGAUACGGGCAUAACUUGAGUGCUGUAGGGGAGACUGGAAUUCCUGGUGUAGCGGUGGAAUGCGCAGAUAUCAGGAGGAACACCGAUGGCGAAGGCAGGUCUCUGGGCAGUAACUGACGCUGAGGAGCGAAAGCAUGGGGAGCGAACAGGAUUAGAUACCCUGGUAGUCCAUGCCGUAAACGGUGGGCGCUAGGUGUGAGUCCCUUCCACGGGGUUCGUGCCGUAGCUAACGCAUUAAGCGCCCCGCCUGGGGAGUACGGCCGCAAGGCUA
This 376-nucleotide ribosomal RNA is filed under the name uncultured organism. Its description in RNAcentral is "partial 16S ribosomal RNA". It matches the Rfam family "Bacterial small subunit ribosomal RNA", at positions 527 to 896 of the family's 1533-position model. The record is from RNAcentral.